Molecule: ribosomal RNA, 253 nt
Filed under: uncultured bacterium
Lineage: Bacteria
Description: partial 16S ribosomal RNA
Rfam family: Bacterial small subunit ribosomal RNA
Source: RNAcentral
UACGUAGGGUGCGAGCGUUAAUCGGAAUUACUGGGCGUAAAGCGUGCGCAGGCGGCGCGUUAAGACAGGUGUGAAAGCCCCGAGCUUAACUUGGGAAUUGCGCUUGUGACUGGCGUGCUGGAGUGUGGCAGAGGGAGGUGGAAUUCCACGUGUAGCAGUGAAAUGCGUAGAGAUGUGGAGGAACACCGAUGGCGAAGGCGGGUCUCUGGGCCGAAACUGACGCUGAGGAGCGAAAGCGUGGGGAGCAAACAGG